CUCAGAGAUAGAACUGCUGAACCACUUUCCAGUCAGUUCUUCUCAGAGCAAAAGCGGGAAACAAACAUGACACUUUGGCUUCAAUUUGUUUUUGUUUCAGCAGUUUUGGGAGGUGUCCAAUCAGCAGUCCAGCUGGUAGAGUCUGGAGGGGAUUUCAAAAGGCCUGGAGAGUCCCUCCGUCUCUCCUGUCGAGCCUCCGGGUUCAACUUUGGGGGCUAUACCAUGAUCUGGGUACGACAGGCUCCUGGAAAGGGACUGGAAUGGUUGGCAUGGAUACGCUAUGAUAGUGGAGAAAUAUACUAUGACAACUCUGUGAAAGGGCGCUUCACCAUCUCCAGAGACAACCCUUCAAACAUGCUGUAUCUACAAAUGAGCACUCUGAAACCAGAGGACUCAGCUGUUUAUUACUGUGCAAGAGACACAGUGAAAGGAAGUGAAUCUGAAGCCAGACAAAAACCUUCCUUUGCCAGCUGUCUGGACUGGUUCAGCUAA
Zootoca vivipara (common lizard) is the source of this 492-nucleotide non-coding RNA. The record is from the annotation of a RefSeq genome assembly. Lineage: Eukaryota; Metazoa; Chordata; Lepidosauria; Squamata; Lacertidae.